ACCUACACGUCAAUUAAGAAAUUCCGAUAAUAACAACUCUGCUCCACUGUGCUUUCGCGCUCGAAUGAUGCUAAAAAAAUGAAACAAGAACGAUCUUCUUCCAAUUGGUCGAAUCGAAAUCCUGUUUAUGGUGUCCGUUUGAUGAAGUUAGGAUCAGAGUAACAGUACUCUGUAAAAAUUUCGACUCUGUGAACUCGUGUUAUCCGGCAUUGCGAAGUAGAAAGAAGCCCUAGAAUUCAAGGGAAGUCUGAUAUGGAUGCCAAGGAUAUCUUGGGCUUGCCCAAAAAUACGCUUCAUAUACCCCAAGAGAAGAAACCUAGGGCUCAGAAAGAUGCCCAGAGAAAGCGAGAUGGAAUUUCCCGCGAGGUUUAUGCGCUUACUGGUGGUCUGGCUCCUAUUAUGCCGGCAAUCGAUACAUCUGAGCUGAAGAAACGACCUCCAUCAGAUGAAAAGAUUACGUGGCAGUGGCUUCCUUUUGCAAAUUCUGCUAGAAAAGAUAACUUGCAGCUUUACCAUUGGGUUAGAGUUGUAAAUGGCAUUCCACCAACAGGUGAUUAUUCCUUUGCAAAGUACAACAAGUCUGUUGAAAUUGUCAAAUACACGGAUGAGGAUUACGAAAAGUAUUUGAAUGAACCUUCAUGGACAAAGGAGGAGACGGAUCGAUUAUUUGACUUGUGUGAACGGUUUGAUCUUCGCUUCGUUGUGAUAGCUGACAGGUUUCCAUCAACAAGGACAAUGGAGGAACUAAAGGAGCGAUAUUAUCGUGCAUCAAGAGCAAUUUUGGCAGCUAGAGAACCAAUGCCUCGGGAAAGUUCAGGGAAUACUCUCGCCAAGGAUCCUUACAGUGUCUCACAAGAGAUUGAGCGCAAACGGGCAUUGUCCAUGGUUCUCUCCCAAACGAAACAGCAAGAACGAAAAGAUGCAGAGGUUCUAGCUGAAGCAAAAAAGAUAACUGAAUCUCGCAGAGAUGAAAGAGUGCCUGAAAAAUCUGAGCUGCCUGUCACUUCAAAUGCUGUCCCUGGAGCUACUGAAAGGGCUGUCGUUCCUGGAGAUUCUUUACCAUCUGUAUCCAAUGUGCAGCCCCCUCCUCCAGCAGCUGCACCUUCAACUUUAGUGGCGGAUAAUGCUUCUACUCUUGCUUCUCUUCGCAUGCUUCCUGUAUACUUGAGAACGUAUGCACUUGAGCAAAUGGUCCAAGCUGCAAGUUCAUCUGCUGGGCUUCGGACUAUCAAGCGAGUUGAACAAACAUUACAAGAUCUUUCGGUUAAUCUAAAGCCGAGGGUUCCAACAAAAUCAGUGUGUGCAGAACAUCUUGAAUUGAGGAAAGAAAUAUUGACUCUACUGAAUCUUCAAAAGCAGUUGCAAAAUAAGGAGGCAGAAGGUUCAUCUUUCCGUGAGGGUCCCUACAACGAGGCACCUGGCACACCCAAGGAUCGUAGUUUUAUUCCUGAUUCUAUGAGUUCUGGAGGGGAAAGGUCUGGCAAACGGGAUCAGAAACGUAAGGCAACUGGGAGAUUAUCUGAAGCUCCAUCAUCACCAGCUCAAACUAAAAGGCCAAGAAAACAGAAAGGAUCUGAUCUGUGAUUCUCCAGGCGUCAGCUAUACAUAAUUCCCUUGCUUCAAUAACUUGGGAAAAGGAGAGUUUGUAUUAUCUGGGGUUCUUUCUUGAAUAGCUGCUUUAAUUCCUGUGCCGAUAGAUUCAAGGCCCUCAUACUUCACGAGGCAGUCAGCCACUGAUGAUCAAUAUUACUUCCACGCUCCUGCUGUAGUUCCUUAUGGCGAGCCUCAACAUGCCAAGGUGACUAUUUAUUGCCUAUGUUUAUGCAACAUUCAGCAUUAGUACUAAAUGCCUGACUCAUUGCAGAUAACUCACCUUGAAUGUCGUCUCAUUCGGUUCUUCAUCAUAUGCUUGGCAUGUUUCCUCCACAAAAUCUCCGAACUUUUCCUUUCAUACCCAUUCAAUUCCCAUCUUCAGGGUGCUUUUUGAACUGGGGCAGCUAUCGCAUGCGCCUGAAGAAGAAAAGGUUUAUCGUUGUUUUCACUUUCAAGAAUGAACUAUGUACACAUGUAUUUAACCCCUUCCCUGAUUCCAUUUUCUAAAAUCGUUUUUUAAGAACGAAAUUAAAGACUUGAGUAUUAGUCGCAUGUGUCAACAACGACGAUUCAAGUUUUAGUUGGCUUACUUGUUUGAAGGUGAGAAUGUGUCGUAUUAAUCACAUUACGAGUCUAGAAAGGGUGUAGUUGUGACACAAACUAGAUUAACUUCUAUACUAUAAGUUCAAUUUAUCUCAA
Non-coding RNA from Cucurbita pepo subsp. pepo (vegetable marrow), 2292 nucleotides. NCBI's taxonomy places the organism in Eukaryota, Viridiplantae, Streptophyta, Magnoliopsida, Cucurbitales, Cucurbitaceae. The record is from RefSeq and is a predicted model, not a curated record.